This is a non-coding RNA of Cinara cedri, 1050 nucleotides long. The record is from the annotation of a GenBank genome assembly. NCBI's taxonomy places the organism in Eukaryota, Metazoa, Arthropoda, Insecta, Hemiptera, Aphididae.
UAAAGAAAUCGUUUUUGAAAUGUUGUCGAUUAGUACACAUUUGGCAAUGGGCAUGUUUAUCUCUAUAUGCGAUUUCAAAAGCCCUUUCAUUUUUUUUACGUAAAAUAUAGUUAGAAAAGUAAAAAAUGUCAUAGUUUUAUAUGACGGAAAUUGUUGCGUUUUUUUUUUAACGGUAUUAUAAAGUUCAGGCCUGUUUUACCUACUUAUAUCAGAUACCUAUUUAUUUAAACGUUUCGAGUUCAAAUUUUAACAAAGCUCAUAGAUAUAACGCAUAUAUUAACUAUUGUAGUUGAAAAUCGAUUAAAUUAAAAAUUUAGUUCAACAUACGUUUAAUUUCAGUUUUUUCUUUCUAAAAUCCCACCAUCUACGGCGCUGCUCGAGGAACUUUUGUUGUGUAAGUACAUCAGCUGUAUAGUAUGCGGACGUAUAAUGGAGGUAAAGUGGAACCUCGAUUGAGACAAAAACCCUAGGCAAGUCGAAAUAAAUGACGUCUCCUUACGAAAAUCUCAAUUACUCAAAAAAAAAAACUAAGAUAACACGUACAUUCAGUGUUCCGAAUAUAGAUGAAAUGAACAAUUCGGCAUAGCAGCAAACACACUAUCUAUUCUAUAGUUAUUAUGAAAAAUAGUAAGGAAACUAAUUUGAAUUUUUUUCGUCGAACGAGGAAUAGAGGCCCUGCAUUUUCGGACGUAGAGAAUGCGCACUUCAAUGGUUUCAGCAGUAUUAUGCAUCGAUGCUAAUGUCGAUAUUAAAAACAGAAAAAUACAUUUUAAAAACUCUUCAAGUCGAAAAACCUUGACAAGUCGAAAAACUAGAAUUCCCCUCGGAUUUCGACUUAUCGAUGUUCCGCUGCAUAAUACAUAAUACUUUUAAACCUGCGCAGUAUUAUAUUAUACUAUUAUGGUUUACCAAUUAAUCGCCAACCAAUACGUAAUGUAUAUACGCACAUAGAUCAUAAUUAUUUAUAAAAUACAAUCGGCAGAAAACCGAACCGCUUGACCCUAUUCGCGCGGACGUGUCGCAAGGGUCUUCGGCGCGCGCGGACUCGUU